CGCACGGGUGAGUAACACGUGACUAACCUACCCCUUGAGUGGGGGAUAACCUCGGGAAACCGUGGCUAAUACCGCAUAAUAUCGAGAGAUCAAAGGAGCAAUUCGCUUAAGGAGGGGGUCGCGGCUGAUUAGCUAGUUGGUGAGGUAAUGGCUCACCAAGGCGAUGAUCAGUAUCCGGCCUGAGAGGGCGCACGGACACACUGGAACUGAAACACGGUCCAG
RNAcentral lists this ribosomal RNA (222 nucleotides) under uncultured bacterium. RNAcentral describes it as "partial 16S ribosomal RNA". It matches the Rfam family "Bacterial small subunit ribosomal RNA", at positions 99 to 334 of the family's 1533-position model. The record is from RNAcentral.